AGCAGCGUGGCUCAAUGGAAGGAGCACUGACUUGGGAGUCAGAGGUCAUGAGUUCAAAUCCCAACUCAGCCG
RNAcentral lists this transfer RNA (72 nucleotides) under Ornithorhynchus anatinus (platypus). It matches the Rfam family "tRNA". Rfam says of the family: Transfer RNA (tRNA) molecules are approximately 80 nucleotides in length. Their secondary structure includes four short double-helical elements and three loops (D, anti-codon, and T loops). Further hydrogen bonds mediate the characteristic L-shaped molecular structure. tRNAs have two regions of fundamental functional importance: the anti-codon, which is responsible for specific mRNA codon recognition, and the 3' end, to which the tRNAs corresponding amino acid is attached (by aminoacyl-tRNA synthetases). tRNAs cope with the degeneracy of the genetic code in two manners: having more than one tRNA (with a specific anti-codon) for a particular amino acid; and 'wobble' base-pairing, i.e. permitting non-standard base-pairing at the 3rd anti-codon position. The record is from Rfam by way of RNAcentral. Lineage: Eukaryota; Metazoa; Chordata; Mammalia; Monotremata; Ornithorhynchidae.